This 1284-nucleotide ribosomal RNA is filed under the name Triticum aestivum (bread wheat). RNAcentral describes it as "partial small subunit ribosomal RNA". Lineage: Eukaryota; Viridiplantae; Streptophyta; Magnoliopsida; Poales; Poaceae. The record is from RNAcentral.
AUGAAAGGCGGUGUUCUGCAUAGGCUCCUUGUCAACAAGCUAUGCUUGGGCCUUUUAUUAGUUCUCCUCGUUGUGCCGAUUGUCAUUUUGUUGCUGGGCACAACUCCAGAACAGCUGAAACUUCUCUCCCAAGGUUUCCUACAGCAGCAUGGACUGGAACAUAUUGGAGAUAAUGUAUCAGCUCUAGUUGUGCCUGCAGGUCCAGCUUAUAACGACGACACUCACACGAGUAUAACCAGACGGAACAAAUGGAACAAAGACUGUAACUAUGCAAAGGGAAAGUGGGUGGCAGAUGAGAAACGGCCACUCUAUUCAGGUAAUGAGUGCAAGCAAUGGCUGUCCAAAAUGUGGGCUUGUCGAAUGAUGCAACGCACAGAUUUCUUCUAUGAGAGUUACCGGUGGCAGCCGCACGGUUGUGAGAUGCCUGAGUUUUCAGGUCCUAACUUGUUGAGCAGGCUGAGGCAUAAAACUCUUGCUUUUGUGGGUGAUUCCCUCGGGAGACAGCAAUUUCAGUCCAUCAUGUGUAUAGCAACAGGUGGUAAAUACAGCCCAGAUGUUGAAGAUGUUGGUUGGAAAUAUGGCCUUGUCAAAGCUCCAGGUGCUUUGAGACCUGAUGGGUGGGCUUAUCGAUUUCCAGAGACUAACACCACUAUCCUUUACUACUGGUCUGCUAGCCUAUCUGAACUGGAACCUUUGAACACAACAAAUUCAGUGACUAGCUAUGCGUUGCAUCUUGAUCGGCCAGUAACAUUCUUGAAGAAGUAUUUCCAUGGUUUUGAUGUUCUAGUACUGAACACUGGUCAUCACUGGAACAGAGGGAAAUUCAAUGGAAAUCAUUGGGAAUUGUAUGCCAAUGGGGAGCCUGUAGGGAAAGGUCGACUUGCAGAUCUCAACCGUGCAAAGAAUCUUACACUGUAUAGCAUUGCCAGGUGGGUGGAUUCAGAACUCGCAAGCCGUCCUCAGAUGAAAGCUUUUCUGAGGACAAUGUCACCGAGGCAUUUUGUAAAUGGCGAUUGGAACACUGGUGGAAGUUGUGGUAAUAGCGUUCCCUUUUCUAAUGGAAGCGAGGUCUUGCAGGAUCAUUCAAGUGACUUGCCUGCAGAGCGUGCUGUAAAUGGAACUCAGGUUAAGCUUUUGGAUAUUACUUCUACGUCACAACUACGAGAUGAGGGGCACAUCUCAAAUCGUACUUUCAGAGCUCCAACAGGCAUUCAUGAUUGCUUGCACUGGUGCCUUCCUGGUAUACCAGAUAUGUGGAAUGAGCUCCUCUUUGCACAGAUUUAG